AUGGCGACUCUCUCCGCCCCCUUGCUCCGUUCCCACCACCGUCACCUCCCCGUCCGCUCCUCGCCGCGCCGCUGCCGGACCGCCGCCUUCCCGCGCGGGUUCGUUCCCCUCGAACCCCUCUCCUCCCGUGGCCCCCCACGCACCGCCGUACGCUCCGCCUCGACCUCGGCAGCGGCACCGGAGGCCGCCGAGGCAACGGGAGGCGCGGCCCCGAGCGAAACGGCCGCGGAGGAGGUGGAGGCGCAGGCGCGCGUCGUGCUCCCCACCAACGAGUCCUCCGAGAACCUGCUGCGCAUCCGCCACACCUGUGCCCAUGUCAUGGCCAUGGCCGUCCAGAAGCUGUUCCCCGACUCCAAAGUGACCAUAGGCCCCUGGAUAGACAAUGGCUUCUACUACGACUUCGACAUGGAGCCCCUGACGGAUAAGGACCUCAAGAAGAUCAAGAAGGAGAUGGACCGAAUCAUUCGACGGAACCUUCCAUUGGUGAGGGAGGAGGUGUCCAGGGAAGAGGCUCAAAAGAGGAUCCAAGCACUUAACGAGCCAUAUAAGCUGGAGAUUUUGGAGAGAAUUAAGGAAGAACCCAUCACAAUUUAUCACAUUGGAGAAGAGUGGUGGGAUCUGUGUGCUGGCCCUCAUGUUGAGUCUACUGGCAAGAUACAGAGAAAGGCUGUUGAGCUUGAGUCUGUUGCUGGUGCUUACUGGAGGGGUGAUGAGAAUAAUCAAAUGCUACAAAGGAUAUAUGGGACUGCAUGGGAGAGUGAAGAUCAAUUGAAGGCUUACAUCCACUUCAAGGAGGAGGCCAAGCGCAGAGACCAUCGGCGACUAGGUCAGGACCUUGAUCUGUUCUCUAUACAGGAAGAUGCUGGUGGGGGUUUAGUAUUCUGGCAUCCAAAAGGUGCUAUCAUCAGACACAUUUUAGAAGAUUCGUGGAAACAAACUCACCUGCAACGUGGUUAUGAUCUAUUGUACACUCCGCAUGUUGCGAAGGCUGAUCUCUGGAAGAUUAGCGGACAUAUAGAUUUCUACAAAGAGAAUAUGUACAACCAAAUGGAUGUAGAAGAUGAGCCAUAUCAACUUCGGCCCAUGAAUUGCCCUUACCACAUCUUGGUAUACAAGAGAAAGCUACAAUCAUACAGGGAUUUACCCAUCAGAGUGGCAGAGCUUGGAACUGUCUAUAGAUAUGAGCUCUCUGGUGCUCUGCAUGGGCUGUUCCGCGUAAGAGGGUUCACACAGGAUGAUGCCCACAUAUUUUGUCUCGAAGACCAGAUAAAAGAUGAAAUUAGAGGAGUUCUUGAUUUAACUGAAGAAAUACUGGGGCAGUUUGGCUUCCGGAAUUAUGAGGUAAACCUUUCAACCAGGCCAGAAAAAUCUGUUGGCAGUGACGACAUAUGGGAAAAGGCAACAAUUGCUCUGAAAGAUGCGCUAGAUGAUAAAGGUUGGGGAUACACGGUUGAUGAAGGGGGAGGUGCUUUCUAUGGUCCAAAAAUUGAUUUGAAAAUUGAGGACGCUCUUGGAAGAAAAUGGCAAUGUUCCACUGUGCAGGUUGACUUCAAUUUGCCUGAACGGUUUGACAUCACUUAUGUUGACUCGCAUACUGAGAAGAAACGGCCUAUCAUGAUUCAUAGAGCCAUCCUUGGGUCUUUGGAGCGCUUUUUUGGCAUCCUCAUUGAAAACUACGCUGGUGAUUUUCCACUUUGGCUUGCUCCAACCCAAGCUCGUAUUCUACCUGUCACAAACAAUGAGCUGCAGUACUGUAAUGAGGUGGCUUCAGAACUGAAAUCGAGAGGUAUCCGCGCCGAGGUAUGCCACGGCGAACGUCUGCCGAAGUUAAUCAGAAACGCCGAAACACAAAAGGUGCCGCUCAUGGCGGUCGUUGGCCCCAAGGAAGUCGAAGCUAGGACUCUCACCAUCAGGUCCAGGCAUAACGGGGAGAUGGGCACCAUGCCCGUCGACGAUUUCAUCAGCAAAAUCCAAUCGGCCGUUGCUGAAAAAUCUUCGCUGUAG
This 2004-nucleotide ribosomal RNA is filed under the name Triticum aestivum (bread wheat). RNAcentral describes it as "partial small subunit ribosomal RNA". The record is from RNAcentral. Lineage: Eukaryota; Viridiplantae; Streptophyta; Magnoliopsida; Poales; Poaceae.